Talaromyces stipitatus ATCC 10500 is the source of this 81-nucleotide transfer RNA. It matches the Rfam family "tRNA". Rfam says of the family: Transfer RNA (tRNA) molecules are approximately 80 nucleotides in length. Their secondary structure includes four short double-helical elements and three loops (D, anti-codon, and T loops). The record is from Rfam. NCBI's taxonomy places the organism in Eukaryota, Fungi, Ascomycota, Eurotiomycetes, Eurotiales, Trichocomaceae.
GACACUAUGGCCGAGUGGUUAAGGCGCACGCCUGCUAAGCGUGUAUCUUCGGAUGCGCAAGUUCGAAUCUUGCUGGUGUCG